This 1372-nucleotide ribosomal RNA is filed under the name uncultured bacterium. Its description in RNAcentral is "bacterial SSU rRNA". It matches the Rfam family "Bacterial small subunit ribosomal RNA", at positions 28 to 1381 of the family's 1533-position model. The record is from RNAcentral.
GAUAAACGCUGGCGGCGUGCCUAAUACAUGCAAGUCGAGCGAACGGACGAGAAGCUUGCUUCUCUGAUGUUAGCGGCGGACGGGUGAGUAACACGUGGAUAACCUACCUAUAAGACUGGGAUAACUUCGGGAAACCGGAGCUAAUACCGGAUAAUAUUUUGAACCGCAUGGUUCAAAAGUGAAAGACGGUCUUGCUGUCACUUAUAGAUGGAUCCGCGCUGCAUUAGCUAGUUGGUAAGGUAACGGCUUACCAAGGCAACGAUGCAUAGCCGACCUGAGAGGGUGAUCGGCCACACUGGAACUGAGACACGGUCCAGACUCCUACGGGAGGCAGCAGUAGGGAAUCUUCCGCAAUGGGCGAAAGCCUGACGGAGCAACGCCGCGUGAGUGAUGAAGGUCUUCGGAUCGUAAAACUCUGUUAUUAGGGAAGAACAUAUGUGUAAGUAACUGUGCACAUCUUGACGGUACCUAAUCAGAAAGCCACGGCUAACUACGUGCCAGCAGCCGCGGUAAUACGUAGGUGGCAAGCGUUAUCCGGAAUUAUUGGGCGUAAAGCGCGCGUAGGCGGUUUUUUAAGUCUGAUGUGAAAGCCCACGGCUCAACCGUGGAGGGUCAUUGGAAACUGGAAAACUUGAGUGCAGAAGAGGAAAGUGGAAUUCCAUGUGUAGCGGUGAAAUGCGCAGAGAUAUGGAGGAACACCAGUGGCGAAGGCGACUUUCUGGUCUGUAACUGACGCUGAUGUGCGAAAGCGUGGGGAUCAAACAGGAUUAGAUACCCUGGUAGUCCACGCCGUAAACGAUGAGUGCUAAGUGUUAGGGGGUUUCCGCCCCUUAGUGCUGCAGCUAACGCAUUAAGCACUCCGCCUGGGGAGUACGACCGCAAGGUUGAAACUCAAAGGAAUUGACGGGGACCCGCACAAGCGGUGGAGCAUGUGGUUUAAUUCGAAGCAACGCGAAGAACCUUACCAAAUCUUGACAUCCUUUGACAACUCUAGAGAUAGAGCCUUCCCCUUCGGGGGACAAAGUGACAGGUGGUGCAUGGUUGUCGUCAGCUCGUGUCGUGAGAUGUUGGGUUAAGUCCCGCAACGAGCGCAACCCUUAAGCUUAGUUGCCAUCAUUAAGUUGGGCACUCUAAGUUGACUGCCGGUGACAAACCGGAGGAAGGUGGGGAUGACGUCAAAUCAUCAUGCCCCCUAUGAUUUGGGCUACACACGUGCUACAAUGGACAAUACAAAGGGCAGCGAAACCGCGAGGUCAAGCAAAUCCCAUAAAGUUGUUCUCAGUUCGGAUUGUAGUCUGCAACUCGACUACAUGAAGCUGGAAUCGCUAGUAAUCGUAGAUCAGCAUGCUACGGUGAAUACGUUCCCGGGUCU